GAACAUGACUUGCGUUACAUGAACCGACGUCACGCCGCACUGAGAGAAUCAUCCUCACUAUACGACACAGUUUUCAAAGGGAGACUUUUUUUUUUUUUUAGUUUUAGUGUCGUUGUAGUUUCUAAGCAACAGAAAUCCGGGUACGAAGAGUUCGAUGAAGCAGCAGACGGCUUCACGAGGAACGAGCGACUUCAUCUCAAGUUGAACAACAAGUACUCCUGCUCCUGUUGAAAUGCUCAUCUCUCCGUCAUGCCGCCGCCGCCCCCCCCCCCCCCCGCCGCGCCAUUCUCCAUCGCCUCCCCACCCCUCCUGCUCUCCCCACUGGCACUGAUUGCAGAUUCCCGGCAACAAGGAAGCGAGUGAGGUAGAAUGAAACAACAACAACAACAACCAAAACGCCUGCAUUCAGGCCCUAAUCCCUUCAUCUAACCCCGGCCAGGCUUUCUCCCUUUUCUUUUUUCCGCCCUAAAUGGAUGUAUUUCUGUUCCUAUUAAACAUGGAUGGCUUGAUGGACAAAUAUGCUGUUCAUCAGUUUUGUCCUGCUACAUUGUGAGUUUCUGUUUUAAGCAUGUUUGUCUGGUGCUUUGGGGGUGAAAUAUAUAAAAAGGAAUAUUCAUGGAGUCAAUGAGUUAGCUGAGGG
Molecule: long non-coding RNA, 640 nt
Organism: Gasterosteus aculeatus aculeatus (three-spined stickleback)
Lineage: Eukaryota; Metazoa; Chordata; Actinopteri; Perciformes; Gasterosteidae
Source: Ensembl